This 460-nucleotide ribosomal RNA is filed under the name uncultured bacterium. RNAcentral describes it as "partial 16S ribosomal RNA". It matches the Rfam family "Bacterial small subunit ribosomal RNA", at positions 338 to 795 of the family's 1533-position model. The record is from RNAcentral.
CCUACGGGAGGCAGCAGUGAGGAAUCUUGGUCAAUGGACGAGAGUCUGAACCAGCCAAGUAGCGUGAAGGAUGACUGCCCUAUGGGUUGUAAACUUCUUUUAUAUGGGAAUAAAAUGUUCCACGUGUGGGAUUUUGUAUGUACCAUAUGAAUAAGGAUCGGCUAACUCCGUGCCAGCAGCCGCGGUAAUACGGAGGAUCCGAGCGUUAUCCGGAUUUAUUGGGUUUAAAGGGAGCGUAGGUGGAUUGUUAAGUCAGUUGUGAAAGUUUGCGGCUCAACCGUAAAAUUGCAGUUGAAACUGGCAGUCUUGAGUACAGUAGAGGUGGGCGGAAUUCGGGGUGUAGCGGUGAAAUGCUUAGAUAUCACGAAGAACUCCGAUUGCGAAGGCAGUUCACUGGACUGCAACUGACACUGAGGCUCGAAAGUGUGGGUAUCAAACAGGAUUAGAUACCCCGGUAGUC